This 100-nucleotide small nuclear RNA is filed under the name Ovis aries (sheep). Lineage: Eukaryota; Metazoa; Chordata; Mammalia; Artiodactyla; Bovidae. The record is from RNAcentral.
GUGCUCACUUCAACAGCAUAUAUACUAAAACUGAAAUGAUGCAGAGAAGAUUCGCAUGGCCCUGUGCUAGGAUGACAAAUAUGGAACAUUUCAUAUGUGU